GCGCACCAGUCGAGAAUACUUUACAAUGUGCGAAAGCACGAUAAGGGAACUCUGAGUGCCUCCUAAGGAGGCUGUUCAGGUGUCUAAAAAGCACCUGGAGUAAGGGCUGGGUAAGACCGGUGCCAGCCGCCGCUGUAACACCGGCAGCCCAGGUGGUAGCCACUUUUAUUGGGUCUAAAGCGUCCGUAGCCGGUUGAGUAAGUUCCUUGGGAAAUUUGGCUGCUCAACAGUCAAGCUUCCAGGGAAUACUGCUCGACUUGGGACUGGGAGAGGUCAGAGGUACUCCAGGGGUAGGGUGAAAUCCAUUAAUCCCUGGGGGACCACCGGUAGCGAAGGCGUCUGACCAGACCAGGUCCGACGGUGAGGGGACGAAGGCUAGGGGCGCGAACCGGAUUAGAUACCCCUGUA
RNAcentral lists this ribosomal RNA (408 nucleotides) under uncultured microorganism. RNAcentral describes it as "bacterial SSU rRNA". It matches the Rfam family "Archaeal small subunit ribosomal RNA", at positions 330 to 743 of the family's 1478-position model. The record is from RNAcentral.